GUGCUCACUUUGGCGGUACAUGAAUGAAAAUUGGAAUGAAACAGAGAUUAGCAUGGUCCCUGCACAAGGAUGACACACAAAAACCCCAAAUUAAAAAUGCCAAU
Dipodomys ordii (Ord's kangaroo rat) is the source of this 104-nucleotide small nuclear RNA. NCBI's taxonomy places the organism in Eukaryota, Metazoa, Chordata, Mammalia, Rodentia, Heteromyidae. The record is from Ensembl.